RNAcentral lists this ribosomal RNA (464 nucleotides) under uncultured bacterium. RNAcentral's name for it is "partial 16S ribosomal RNA". It matches the Rfam family "Bacterial small subunit ribosomal RNA", at positions 339 to 795 of the family's 1533-position model. The record is from RNAcentral.
CUACGGGGUGCAGCAGUGAGGAAUAUUGCGCAAUGGGGGCAACCCUGACGCAGCGACGCCGCGUGAGUGAGGAAGGCCUUCGGGUCGUAAAGCUCUGUCAAGAGGAAAGAAGUGCAUAGUGGUUAAUACCUGCUAUGUUUGACGGUACCUCUAAAGGAAGCACCGGCUAACUCCGUGCCAGCAGCCGCGGUAAUACGGAGGGUGCAAGCGUUGUUCGGAAUCACUGGGCGUAAAGGGCGCGCAGGCGGCCUGGUAAGUCAGAUGUGAAAGCCCACGGCUUAACCGUGGAAGUGCAUUUGAACUGUCAGGCUUGAGUACCAGAGGGGAAAGUGGAAUUCCCGGUGUAGAGGUGAAAUUCGUAGAUAUCGGGAGGAAUACCGGUGGCGAAGGCGACUUUCUGGCUGAGUACUGACGCUGAGGCGCGAAAGCGUGGGGAGCAAACAGGAUUAGAUACCCUCGUAGUC